Dioscorea cayenensis subsp. rotundata (Guinea yam) is the source of this 107-nucleotide small nucleolar RNA. NCBI's taxonomy places the organism in Eukaryota, Viridiplantae, Streptophyta, Magnoliopsida, Dioscoreales, Dioscoreaceae. The record is from RefSeq and is a predicted model, not a curated record.
AACCCAUGCUGAAGACAUUUCCGCAGGAGCUCCUUGAACUUAUCCUAUGUCUCAAAAAGAGACUCAAAUUCCGUUUGCACAAAGGAAGAAAUUUUAUUCCUGAGGUU